GAACGCUGGCGGCAGGCCUAACACAUGCAAGUCGAGCGGAAACGAUGGUAGCUUGCUACCAGGCGUCGAGCGGCGGACGGGUGAGUAACGCGUGAGAAUCUACCCAUGAGUGGGGGACAACCCGGGGAAACUCGGGCUAAUACCGCAUACGCCCUACGGGGUAAAGCAGGGGACCUUCGGGCCUUGCGCUGAUGGAUGAGCUCGCGUCGGAUUAGCUUGUUGGUGAGGUAAAGGCUCACCAAGGCGACGAUCCGUAGCUGGUCUGAGAGGAUGAUCAGCCACACCGGGACUGAGACACGGCCCGGACUCCUACGGGAGGCAGCAGUGGGGAAUCUUGGACAAUGGGGGCAACCCUGAUCCAGCCAUGCCGC
Molecule: ribosomal RNA, 371 nt
Filed under: Durinskia baltica
Lineage: Eukaryota; Dinophyceae; Peridiniales; Kryptoperidiniaceae
Description: partial Bacterial small subunit ribosomal RNA
Rfam family: Bacterial small subunit ribosomal RNA
Source: RNAcentral